Molecule: ribosomal RNA, 497 nt
Filed under: uncultured bacterium
Lineage: Bacteria
Description: partial 16S ribosomal RNA
Rfam family: Bacterial small subunit ribosomal RNA
Source: RNAcentral
GAUGAACGCUGGCGGCGUGCCUAACACAUGCAAGUCGAACGGAAAGACGAGGAGCUUGCUUCCUUGGCGUUAGCGGCGCGGGGGUGUGAAACAUGUGUAUAACCCACCUAUAUGACGGGGAAAACCUCGGGAAACCGGAGCUUAUACCGGAGAAUCUUCUGAAGCGCAUGGUGGGAAAGUGAAAGACGGCCUUGCUGUCACUUAUCGCUGGUUCCACGCUGCAUUAGCUAGUUGGUAGGGUAACGGCUUACCAAGGCCACGAUGCGUAGCCGACCUGAGGGGGUGAUCGGCCACACUGGAACUGAGACACGGUCCAGACUCCUACGGGAGGCAGCAGUAGGGAAUCUUGCGCAGUGGGCGCAAGCCUGACGCAGCAACGCCGCGUGUGUGAUGAAGGCCUUCGGAUCGUAAAGCUCUGUUAUUGGGGAUGAACAGAUGUGUACUUAGACGUGCACUUAUUGACGGUACCUAAUCAAGAAGCACCGGCUAACUACGUG